AAGCGGUGGAGCCAUGUGGUUUUAAUUCGAAGCAACGCGAAGAACCUUACCAAAUCUUGACAUCCUUUGACCGCUCUAGAGAUAGAGUCUUCCCCUUCGGGGGACAAAGUGACAGGUGGUGCAUGGUUGUCGUCAGCUCGUGUCGUGAGAUGUUGGGUUAAGUCCCGCAACGAGCGCAACCCUUAAGCUUAGUUGCCAUCAUUAAGUUGGGCACUCUAAGUUGACUGCCGGUGACAAACCGGAGGAAGGUGGGGAUGACGUCAAAUCAUCAUGCCCCUUAUGAUUUGGGCUACACACGUGCUACAAUGGACAAUACAAAGGGCAGCUAAACCGCGAGGUCAAGCAAAUCCCAUAAAGUUGUUCUCAGUUCGGAUUGUAGUCUGCAACUCGACUACAUGAAGCUGGAAUCGCUAGUAAUCGUAGAUCAGCAUGCUACGGUGAAUACGUUCCCGGGUCUUGUACACACCGCCCGUCACACCACGAGAGUUUGUAACACCCGAAGCCGGUGGAGUAACCAUUUANGGAGAUACCCGUUUCAGGNAUNACNCUCGAAUGGG
RNAcentral lists this ribosomal RNA (557 nucleotides) under Staphylococcus sp. HPC17. RNAcentral describes it as "bacterial SSU rRNA". It matches the Rfam family "Bacterial small subunit ribosomal RNA", at positions 927 to 1479 of the family's 1533-position model. Lineage: Bacteria; Bacillati; Bacillota; Bacilli; Caryophanales; Staphylococcaceae. The record is from RNAcentral.